UUUUGGGAUAUUUUGUAUUCUUUUGCAUUAUUAUAACACACACACUCUUUCUCUCCUAUCACUUUCCCUCUUUCUCUCUAUCUAUUCCCUCUCCCCAAGCUCUCUCUGUGCAACUCUCCCACUCCUCUCUGGAACUCACGCACACCACAAACCACCACCAUCACCACCUGGACGUGCAACCUCGAAAACCUCAGGCAAGGUUGGUGCUCCAUCGUGAUAGUCUCGGUGCACCAUCCUCCGACGAACUCCGACGUGUUUCAUAAAUUUCCCGAUGUUGAUCGAGGGACUUAAGCACACCUUUGUGUUCGUGAAGCUCAGACGAAUCGAUUGGUACCAUUUAUAGGGAAUUUGAAGCUUAUAGGAAGCUUAAAGAGGUCCUCACGAGUCUCGGGGUAUUUCGUUGGAAGGAAAUGGAUGUCGAAGGGCUGAGAUCGACGUGUAUCUAGGUUUUAGGUAAGCUUGUUGUCGGUGGCCCUGAGGAUUUCGGCGGUUCUAACAUAUCUAAAUAAUAGUAGGACAUUCCUAGUACUGUAUAACUAGUACUUGUCCUACUGAACUGCACCUAGACUUAUUAUGCUCUGAUUAGGAGAAUUUACUUUUGUAAUUGACUCCUAACACUUCCUGUUUUCUAGUGCACUCUAGUAGUUUCGGUUUUUAAAUAUUCGUAUAUUUCUUAUCUUAAUUGCUUCCGCAAUGUGCACAUGACUACAUCAUCCUCACGUGACGCCCAACAUGCCUUGAUCUCAGUCGGGGUGUGUCAGAAUUGCUAUCGCCUACGGCCUAGUGAAUUCCUCCUCACUUAAAAUUGUGAGGACCUAAAUUUGAUUUUGUGAAAGAAGAGUUCGAUAUCAAUUUAUUAUGGAUUACCGGCUGCCAUGAGGCCUAACAUGAAUUCUUAAGCCCGUGGUGUAUAUAUUG
This is a long non-coding RNA of Malus domestica (apple), 918 nucleotides long. RefSeq lists it as uncharacterized. The record is from RefSeq and is a predicted model, not a curated record. Lineage: Eukaryota; Viridiplantae; Streptophyta; Magnoliopsida; Rosales; Rosaceae.